GCGGAAAUAGCUCAGUUGGUAGAGCAUCACCUUGCCAAGGUGGGGGUCGCGAGUUCGAGUCUCGUUUUCCGCU
This is a non-coding RNA of Anaerovibrio sp. JC8, 73 nucleotides long. Lineage: Bacteria; Bacillati; Bacillota; Negativicutes; Selenomonadales; Selenomonadaceae. The record is from Rfam.